AAGGGAGACCUAAUUCCGGUAGGAGACGAAAAAAAAGUAGUCCCAACCAAGAAUCAAUCCCAAAAGGUCGGAACGAGGUAUGAGGCUUUCAAACUAGGUUCUGGGUUCAUAAAAGACCUGAAUCAGGAACAAGGGCUAUUAGCUCAGGUGGUUAGAGCGCACCCCUGAUAAGGGUGAGGUCCCCGGUUCGAGUCCAGGAUGGCCCACCUGCACAGGUGGCAAAAACAAGAGAAGCUCCGAAUCAGCACCUUAUCUUAUAUACAUAUAUAAGAGAGAAUGCUGGCUCUGAGUACAGAGUCCAGAGGAACCUUGAAAACUGCAUAGAGCUAGGUGAAAAAGCCAAAAAAGAAGACCGCAA
RNAcentral lists this transfer RNA (358 nucleotides) under uncultured Microcystis sp. RNAcentral describes it as "partial 16S-23S ribosomal RNA intergenic spacer". The stretch from base 133 to 206 matches the Rfam family "tRNA". Lineage: Bacteria; Bacillati; Cyanobacteriota; Cyanophyceae; Chroococcales; Microcystaceae. The record is from RNAcentral.